UACGUAGGGGGCAAGCGUUGUCCGGAUUUAUUGGGCGUAAAGAGCGUGUAGGCGGCCGUACAGGUCAGCUGUGAAAACUCGAGGCUCAACCUCGAGACGUCGGUUGAAACCGUACGGCUAGAGUCCGGAAGAGGAGAGUGGAAUUCCCGGUGUAGCGGUGAAAUGCGCAGAUAUCGGGAAGAACACACGUGGCGAAGGCGGCUCUCUGGGACGGUACUGACGCUGAGACGCGAAAGCGUGGGGAGCGAACAGG
Molecule: ribosomal RNA, 253 nt
Filed under: uncultured bacterium
Lineage: Bacteria
Description: partial 16S ribosomal RNA
Rfam family: Bacterial small subunit ribosomal RNA
Source: RNAcentral